AUGAAGAAAGAAGACCACCUUAUUUGCAUUUGGAGCUCUAAAAAACUGAUGUUCCUUUUUUGUGAAGAAUUAAGGUUACAGCUUGACCUUCUUGAACUCAGGGCCUAGCUCAAUCGAGGGAUUUGAUGGAUCUGUUCUAGCUGAAUUCCGUGUAACGAAGCCAUCAACCAAGGUGUACAGAUCAGACUACAAGGAACCGGGACCUUGGAACAUUCAUACCAAUGGCGUGGUCAAAGAACUGUUCCGACAAAAUAUGAUUGUCAUGUUUAUAUGCAGGAUACAGUUAUAAUAAUCAAUAUAUUUUUAAAUGGUAUUUUGGUAGUACCCUGAUUGCGGCACCAGCUGCUGUUUCCAACUGAAGAACUUUCACGCCUUCAACUUCCUGAAACGUGUUUGUUGUCCAUCACAAGCUUUGUUAAGUUCUUCACAAAUCAUAGCUAAGAAGUAACAAGCUCA
Lolium rigidum is the source of this 456-nucleotide long non-coding RNA. RefSeq lists it as uncharacterized. The transcript is spliced from 2 exons. Lineage: Eukaryota; Viridiplantae; Streptophyta; Magnoliopsida; Poales; Poaceae. The record is from RefSeq and is a predicted model, not a curated record.